This 253-nucleotide ribosomal RNA is filed under the name uncultured bacterium. RNAcentral's name for it is "partial 16S ribosomal RNA". It matches the Rfam family "Bacterial small subunit ribosomal RNA", at positions 524 to 776 of the family's 1533-position model. The record is from RNAcentral.
UACAGAGGUGGCAAGCGUUGUUCGGAAUUACUGGGCGUAAAGGGCGCGUAGGCGGCCCGUCAAGUCCCGUGUGAAAGCCCCCGGCUCAACCGGGGAACGGCGCGGGAAACUAGCAGGCUUGAGUUCGGGAGAGGGAAGCGGAAUUCCGGGUGUAGCGGUGAAAUGCGCAGAUAUCCGGAGGAACACCGGUGGCGAAGGCGGCUUCCUGGACCGACACUGACGCUGAGGCGCGAAAGCUAGGGGAGCAAAAGGG